CGGCAUCAAACGACUAUCCCUUUUCACGGCGGGGGUGGAGGACCCAAAAUCGGCAGCCAGCCUGCCUUGGGGUGAAGCCGCGACGCCGGUGGUCAGAUGGCCACCGGGGUGCGGCCGGGCAUUUUCCUUGGCCCGAACCCGACAGCUAACUUCGCAGGCGAACGAAAGGAUCC
Molecule: small RNA, 173 nt
Filed under: Arthrobacter sp.
Lineage: Bacteria; Bacillati; Actinomycetota; Actinomycetes; Micrococcales; Micrococcaceae
Description: c-di-AMP sequence
Rfam family: c-di-AMP riboswitch aptamer (ydaO/yuaA leader)
About the family: This family represents a conserved RNA structure found upstream of the ydaO and yuaA genes in Bacillus subtilis and related genes in other bacteria.
Source: RNAcentral